Molecule: ribosomal RNA, 272 nt
Filed under: uncultured Bacteroides sp.
Lineage: Bacteria; Pseudomonadati; Bacteroidota; Bacteroidia; Bacteroidales; Bacteroidaceae
Description: partial 16S ribosomal RNA
Rfam family: Bacterial small subunit ribosomal RNA
Source: RNAcentral
UGAACUUAGCUUGCUAAGUUUGAUGGCGACCGGCGCACGGGUGAGUAACGCGUAUCCAACCUUCCGUACACUCAGGGAUAGCCUUUCGAAAGAAAGAUUAAUACCUGAUGGUAUGAUGAGAUUGCAUGAUAGCAUCAUUAAAGAUUUAUUGGUAAACGAUGGGGAUGCGUUCCAUUAGGUAGUAGGCGGGGUAACGGCCCACCUAGCCUGCGAUGGAUAGGGGUUCUGAGAGGAAGGUCCCCACAUUGGAACUGAGACACGGCCCAGACUCC